AGUGAACGCUGGCGGUAGGCCUAACACAUGCAAGUCGAACGGCAGCACAGUAAGAGCUUGCUCUUACGGGUGGCGAGUGGCGGACGGGUGAGGAAUACAUCGGAAUCUACUUUUUCGUGGGGGAUAACGUAGGGAAACUUACGCUAAUACCGCAUACGACCUACGGGUGAAAGCAGGGGAUCUUCGGACCUUGCGCGAUUGAAUGAGCCGAUGUCGGAUUAGCUAGUUGGCGGGGUAAAGGCCCACCAAGGCGACGAUCCGUAGCUGGUCUGAGAGGAUGAUCAGCCACACUGGAACUGAGACACGGUCCAGACUCCUACGGGAGGCAGCAGUGGGGAAUAUUGGACAAUGGGCGCAAACCUGCUCCAGCCAUACCGCGUGGGUGAAGAAGGCCUUCGGGUUGUAAAGCCCUUUUGUUGGGAAAGAAAAGCAGCAGGUUAAUACCCCGCUGUUCUGACGGUACCCAAAGAAUAAGCACCGGCUAACUUCGUG
RNAcentral lists this ribosomal RNA (492 nucleotides) under uncultured bacterium. Its description in RNAcentral is "partial 16S ribosomal RNA". It matches the Rfam family "Bacterial small subunit ribosomal RNA", at positions 29 to 507 of the family's 1533-position model. The record is from RNAcentral.